CUCUUCCCAUCAGAUCCCCCAAAGACACACGUGACCCACCACCCCGUCUCUGACCAUGAGGCCACCCUGAGGUGCUGGGCCCUGGGCUUCUACCCUGCGGAGAUCACACUGACCUGGCAGCGGGAUGGGGAGGACCAAACUCAGGACACCGAGCUUGUGGAGACCAGGCCAGCAGGAGAUGGAACCUUCCAGAAGUGGGGAGCUGUGGUGGUGCCUUCUGGAGAAGAACAGAGAUACAUGUGCCAUGUGCAGCACCAGGGGCUGCCAGAGCCCCUCACCCUGAGAUGGGAGCCAUCUUCCCAGUCCACCAUCCCCAUCGUGGGCAUCGUUGCUGGCCUGGCUGUCCUGGCAGUUGUGGUCACCGGAGCUGUGGUCGCUGCUGUGAUGUGGAGGAGGAAGAGCUCAGGUAGGGAAGGGGUGAGGGGUGGGGUCUGGGUUUUCUUGUCCCUCUGGGGGUUUCAAGCCCCAGGUAGAAGUGUUCCCUGCCUCAUUCCUGGGAAGCAGCAUCCACACAGGGGCUAACCCAGCCUGGGGCCCUGUGUGCCAGCACUUACUCUGUUGUGUAGCACAUGUGAUAAUGAAGGACGGAUGUAUCACCUUGAUGAUUAUGGUAUUGGGUCCUGAUUCCAGCAUUCACGA
Molecule: RNA transcript, 639 nt
Organism: Piliocolobus tephrosceles (Ugandan red Colobus)
Lineage: Eukaryota; Metazoa; Chordata; Mammalia; Primates; Cercopithecidae
Gene name: putative HLA class I histocompatibility antigen, alpha chain H pseudogene
Exons: 2
Source: RefSeq, a predicted model, not a curated record